RNAcentral lists this long non-coding RNA (899 nucleotides) under Pan troglodytes (chimpanzee). RNAcentral's name for it is "long non-coding RNA NONPTRT003150". Lineage: Eukaryota; Metazoa; Chordata; Mammalia; Primates; Hominidae. The record is from RNAcentral.
GAGCAGCAUUCAUACCUUAUGUUUUAUAUCCCUCCUCAAGUGCUAGUAGAGAGCUGGGCACACGUCAGCAACUUAAUACAUACUUGUUAAUUCAUAUUGUCUCUCUCUCUCUCCUUCUCCGACAGGGGCACCACCAACACUUAAGCCUCCAUCUUCAGGCAAGAAAGUCUGUGAUAUGAAUGAAGGGAUCAUAAAAGGCACAUGGAAUCAAAGCUUUUGGUCAACUGCCAACAAGGUACAGAGGCCCAACAGCAAUCAUCGAAUGAGCUUGGAAGUGGAUCCUCUCACCCCAGUUGAGCCUUCUGAUGACUGCAGCCCUGGCUGAUGCUUGACUACAACUUCAUCAGAAAUCCUCAUGAAGAUCCAGCACCUUCCAGUUAGCCCAUCUGUGGGUUCUUGACCCUCAGAAAUUCUAUGAGAUAAUAAAUAUUUGUUGUUUUAAGUUGCUAAACUUUGGGAAAAUUUAUUUUUUGGUUUUGGGGGGUUUUUUGAGGCAGGGCCUUGCUCUGUUACCCAGACUGGAAUGCAGUGGUACAAUCACUGCUCACUGCAAUCUUGACUUCCUGGGCUCAAGCAAUCCUCCCAGCUAAACCUCACAAGUAGCUGAAACUACAGGUGUGGGUGCUACCACCCUCGGCUAAGUUUCUUUUUAUUAUUAUUACUAUUUUUUGGAGAGAUGGGGCCUCACUGUGUUGCCCAGGCUGGUCUCAAACUCUGGGGCUCGAGUGAUCCUCCUGCCUCAGUCUCCCAAAUGGCUGGGAUCACAGGUUUGAGCCACUGUGUCAGCCAGAAAAUUUAUUACUCAGUAGUAGAUUACUAUAUUGCUACUUUAUCACAUUAAAUCCUCUCAACGAUUCUGAUAGGUGAAGCUUAUUUAUCCCUUUUACAGAUGAGAAAAC